RNAcentral lists this ribosomal RNA (465 nucleotides) under Vreelandella stevensii. Its description in RNAcentral is "partial 16S ribosomal RNA". It matches the Rfam family "Bacterial small subunit ribosomal RNA", at positions 338 to 795 of the family's 1533-position model. The record is from RNAcentral. Lineage: Bacteria; Pseudomonadati; Pseudomonadota; Gammaproteobacteria; Oceanospirillales; Halomonadaceae.
CCUACGGGGGGCAGCAGUGGGGAAUAUUGGACAAUGGGGGCAACCCUGAUCCAGCCAUGCCGCGUGUGUGAAGAAGGCCCUCGGGUUGUAAAGCACUUUCAGUGAGGAAGAACGCCUGGUGGUUAAUACCCAUCAGGAAAGACAUCACUCACAGAAGAAGCACCGGCUAACUCCGUGCCAGCAGCCGCGGUAAUACGGAGGGUGCGAGCGUUAAUCGGAAUUACUGGGCGUAAAGCGCGCGUAGGUGGCUUGAUAAGCCGGUUGUGAAAGCCCCGGGCUCAACCUGGGAACGGCAUCCGGAACUGUCAAGGUAGAGAGCAGGAGAGGAAGGUAGAAUUCCCGGUGUAGCGGUGAAAUGCGUAGAGAUCGGGAGGAAUACCAGUGGCGAAGGCGGCCUUCUGGACUGACACUGACACUGAGGUGCGAAAGCGUGGGUAGCAAACAGGAUUAGAUACCCGUGUAGUC